GAUGAACGUUAGCGGGAGGCUUAACACAUGCAAGUCGAGCGGUAAGUUUUUAUAGCAAUAUGAAGACCUAGAGCGGCGCACGGGUGAGUAACGCGUACACGACCUGGCCUAAACUGGGGGAUAGCCUUGGGAAACUGAGAGUAAUCCCGCAUGUGAUUAUGUUACUGAUGGUGAUAUAAUUAAAGCUUCGGCGGUUUAGGAUGGGUGUGCGUCUGAUUAGCUAGUUGGUAGUGUAACGGACUACCAAGGCGAUGAUCAGUAGGGGGCGUGAGAGCGUGACCCCCCACACGGUACGUNAGACAC
Molecule: ribosomal RNA, 303 nt
Filed under: uncultured bacterium
Lineage: Bacteria
Description: bacterial SSU rRNA
Rfam family: Bacterial small subunit ribosomal RNA
Source: RNAcentral